Molecule: ribosomal RNA, 433 nt
Filed under: uncultured bacterium
Lineage: Bacteria
Description: partial 16S ribosomal RNA
Rfam family: Bacterial small subunit ribosomal RNA
Source: RNAcentral
AACGAACGCUGGCGGCAUGCCUAACACAUGCAAGUCGAACGAGACCUUCGGGUCUAGUGGCGCACGGGUGCGUAACGCGUGGGAACCUGCCCUUAGGUUCGGAAUAACUCCCCGAAAGGGGUGCUAAUACCGGAUAAUGUCUUCGGACCAAAGAUUUAUCGCCUUUGGAUGGGCCCGCGUUGGAUUAGCUAGUUGGUAGGGUAAAAGCCUACCAAGGCGACGAUCCAUAGCUGGUCUGAGAGGAUGAUCAGCCACACUGGGACUGAGACACGGCCCAGACUCCUACGGGAAGCAGCAGUGGGGAAUAUUGGGCAAUGGGCGGAAGCCUGAUCCAGCAAUGCCGCGUGAGUGAUGAAGGCCUUAGGGUUGUAAAGCUCUUUUACCCGGGAUGAUAAUGACAGUACCGGGAGAAUAAGCUCCGGCUAACUCCGUG